UGCAUGGGUUUUUAUUUCUUUCUGCGUGCUUUUCGCGCAUCUUCGUGACGUUCAGUUCGACCGGCGACGUUAGGGGAGCGUACUUCACCAUACAAGAGGCGUUCGACAAUGUCAAAGCCAAGACCAAGACGCCUGUACAAGCAAAGGUCAUGUUUCGUGCCGUUGUGUACGAGCGGAUACCGAACUAACACAAAGCGUGUCUCAAUGUUCUGCGCCCCACGCGACCCCGCGCGGCUUUCGGAGUGGGAGAAGAGAAUUAGGAGAGCGGACAAGAGGCUGACACCGGCAGCUGUGGUAUGUGAAAGACACUUCGAAGACAGUUGUAUCGAGCGCACCUUCAAGAUAGUCGUUGACGGCGUGGUAAACGAGAUCGCCAGGGACAUACCCCGCCUGAAGCCGGAUGCCGUCCCCACCGUUUUCGAAGAUUACUCUGCUCACCCCGUUCCCAAAAAGCCAUUCCAGCGGAAGGCGAUAAGCUUUUGUGAGCAAGAGGCAGCGCGUGGUUCGGGCGCGCGGAACGGAGAAACGAAGGCAGCUGAAUCGUGCUUUACCGUCGACGAAGAGUCGGACAGCCGCGACAACGUCUCCUUUUCGGGUGAAUCAGCGAGAUCCGCGGAAAGUGAGCAAGAGGAGCACCUCGGUUCCAGAGAAGGAGAGGCGGACACCACUUGUGAAAAACCGAGCGGAAACGGGCGCACGCGCACGCCUCCGAACUGUCGGAAAGGGCACGCGUUCGAUGACAUUCAGAUUCCAGAAACAUGGACGAGGGUGCCUUGUCUGUCAGAAGGCAGCCUAGCGUACGCCUGUUGCCAAAUGCAAGAAAAUAUUUUUUCGCAUCUGUUCCUAGAGAGGAUGGUUGUAUUUGGAGCAGCCUCGCCUGAUCAAGCUCCUGUCACUGCUACUGUUUACUUGAGGGGCAGGGAAAGUUUUAAGGAAGUUCUCAAAACGCGGUGCGAAGCAGAAGAAUUUAUCAAAGAUAUCGAUGCGGUGUCCUUAUGCAAUGGCUGUGGUGUGAAGCCAACCUCGGCCAAGUACACGUCGUACAGAGAGAUGUAUUUUGCAGAGAAAUGCCUUAUAAUUGCUGGUUCAAAAGGUGAAUCCUGCGUGCGCUGCAAACAUGCGCAGAAGCUUGCACAACGCAAAAUAGGCAAGGUAAAAAAUAAAGGUUCUGCUCGACGACCGGAAAUAUAAAAAUGCUCGUCACAGCUUCGGCCCAACAGUAAGGUGGCUCACAGAUGUACAGGCACAAGUGUGUUAAAAGAUUGACAUAAAAUGUCACAGUGACUGGACAUGCUUGACGAAAGAAUGUAGUCAUUUCUCAUGGGAAGCAGCUUGUAAAAAACUGCUUGCUUGCUGCUAGAAGAAAAUCACUAAAGGUGUGAAGUGGUGACAAGGAAACGGAUCGCACAGUGCUUGAUGUUGAGAAGCCGUAGGUGUUAUGAGGACAUCGGGCAAGAAAGUAUAACAUUUCUGCCAAACACGCAUGCCUCGAAAAGUGCCUUCAUAAAGUGUUCCCACAUCUCAUCAAGAAUGCGACCAUUUUGGGAGGAUACCUCACGUCAUUAUUUCAUGAGACUCUGCAGCCAUCGGAUUGUGGACACCUGCAGACUAUGUCACUGCCACAAGGAAUUGCCUUACGUUUGAUGUUAGAAUGCGGUUUUCCUGCCCCACAGUGCUUCCAUGAUGUUAAAUCUGGACCAGUGAAUAAAAAAAAUAUUCUCCCUAAA
This 1727-nucleotide unclassified non-coding RNA is filed under the name Dermacentor andersoni. RNAcentral describes it as "uncharacterized LOC126528101". Lineage: Eukaryota; Metazoa; Arthropoda; Arachnida; Ixodida; Ixodidae. The record is from RNAcentral.